AGUAAAAUGACUGAUAAUAAGUGAUAAAUUGUAAAUUUAUUUAUAAGAUUAAUUCUUUUUUACUA
This 65-nucleotide transfer RNA is filed under the name Molanna angustata. RNAcentral's name for it is "tRNA-Tyr". Lineage: Eukaryota; Metazoa; Arthropoda; Insecta; Trichoptera; Molannidae. The record is from RNAcentral.